GGGGUUGUGGCUCAGUGAUAGAGUGCUCACCUAGCACGCUUGAAGCACUAAGUUCGAUCCUUAGCACCACA
Molecule: transfer RNA, 71 nt
Filed under: Marmota monax (woodchuck)
Lineage: Eukaryota; Metazoa; Chordata; Mammalia; Rodentia; Sciuridae
Description: tRNA.Ala
Source: RNAcentral